UUGACCGGUUGUUGAAUCGAUUUUUUCCUUAUAAGCAACGUUGUUUCGUUCUUGUUUCGGCUAGUGGUCCGUUUUAAUUGUUUGCGUAUUACUAGAGUCGAUACAUUAAUCUUUAAUAUGUUAUUUUACUCUUCGCGUCGGUCAUACAUUUCAUCAUCUUUCCGCUAUUUGCUUCACUACGAAAGUGAUCAGAAUGCUGGUUAUUUCCAUCGUCGGACGCAAUCCACCGACGUUGAGUCGUUCUUGCAGAUCUUCACGAAGACUGCAGGAUAGGAUUUGUGGAAUGUUAAUGAAAACAGGCAUCCCUAUACCAAUUUCUGAUUAAACUUUGGAGUGAACAGAGCAUUGGAGGAUGUGGCAAACUGGCUCGUAGACUUUCGACAGGCAAUUCUUUUCCUUUUGAAAAAUCAUGAUGUACAUCCAGCACAAUAUCCUUCAGUUGUUGGUCAAAUUUUGCACAAAAGCGCAGUAAUUUCUGAAGCUUAAAUUUAUUCAAACCUUUACAAUAUCGUACCAUAGAUUUUAAUUUUUUUUAAGUGCUCAUAAAAGAAGACAUUAAUAGAGUAUGCGUAAAGUAUUUAAACUAUAAAUAAAAUGUCUCAUUUAUAUAUAAUAGCCUGGAAAUUGUUUUUCAGUAUAAUAGUUUGAAGGAAUAACAUUUAAUGUCCAUCUCUGUUGGACCAGAGGUCACAGAUGCUCGUUUGCAUGUCGAUGUCCGGUCGCGUGUAUGCGCGAGCCUUGGUCGAGAACAGGGUAGCACGACGUCCGGCAGUUUAGAAGGAGGGUGGAACAGGGAUGAGGGUACUCGCUCAGCCCGGUAAUGGAAUACCUUCGCGAAGGAACGCAAUCACGCUGAUGUUUCGGAACCCCAAGGCUGCCACGAGGGAUUUCUGCGUUCAUGAACAGAUCAGGCCUGCGCGUUCCUCCUUCCUUUCCUGCUCGUUUCUCUAAUUCUUCCUCUCUGUUUCCUCGAUUUGAUCAAUGCGGUGAGUCGAACAGCUCUCUCCAUAGUAUCUUCCUUUGCAUACAUUAAUAGAUACAAUCGUAUCUAUUAUUUCGAAUAAUAAUUUUGAUGAAUUUGCAAUUUCUCAAAGUUUAAUAGAAAUACAGCGAUACAAAGUAUUUACUGAUGCUAUUAUAUUAUAUAUUAUGGUCUCUUUCUCAUGCAGGUCAGUUUUUGACGAAUUUUGUAUUUUUGUACUUUUGCGAAUAUGAAUCAACGAGUCGCUCGAGCUCGCCUCUUCCCAACUUCUUUCUAGCAUUUUUCUCCCUAUGCUGAGCAACAUAACCCAUCUUAUCCCCGGGACACCACUACACACGAGGCGCGAAAUCUUCCUCACUAAGACUCCGUCAAAGUUAUGAAUUCUUUCGAAAAUCUUGGUGGUGAUCCUUCGAAGUUGCGCGCUCGACAGGGAUCAAAGAACUUGGCGUGGCGAUGUCUGAGAGAUGGGAAGGGGGGUGGAUCAACUCGCCUUAGGAUGAAGCUUCAGGCAUCUUCAGCGGAAGAGCUGGACGAAGACGAAGACAACGACGAAGAAAAAGGAAAGGGGAGGAGAAAAGGAGGACGAGGACGCGAGUAUAAGAUGAGGGUUUUUGGUGAGAAGGACAUAGGAGAGGGGUGGCGGGGGAUCAGUGGAAAGGGAUGAGAAAAUCGUGGAGUUUGAGACGACGUUGAGGAAGAAAGGGGGAAGGCGCAAGCAAACGCGGAAUACAAAGCAGCGGCCGAAGAACCAUCGGGUAGGAGGCAGAAGAGAGGAAGUGGGAGGGGGAUGAGUAGGUGGAGAGAGAGAAAGAGAGAGAGGGUGCACGGGGAGCCCAGAGCGCGCCUUCCCAAAGACCAGACCUCCUGCUGUCUAUUCAAACCGCAUAUGAUUUACCGCUGUGGAUAAUCUGUAAAUAUAUUUAUUUUGAUUUUGUACACAACAUGAUUUUAUUUUGUCCUGCGUGUUGCACACCCCUUUUUUCUUUUAGAUUAGAUUUACUCCGGGGCAAAAGAAGCGAGAUAGAGUCGCUGGAUCUGCUAAAUCUGAAAAAUUAUCUAUUUGUUUCUGUCACUCUUUCUGCCAUAUUCUUAAAUUGUAAAAUAAAAUACUAAUAUUUUUACAUGUGUGUGUACGUAUGUGGAACGAUAUGAAAGCCUUAAAGUGAAAACUGAGACACUCAGCUUGUAAAAUCUUAUUGCACAUAAUUAGAUGUUAUGUACAAAUAAAAACAUAUAUGCAAAGCAA
This 2228-nucleotide long non-coding RNA is filed under the name Ooceraea biroi (clonal raider ant). RNAcentral describes it as "uncharacterized LOC109611151". The record is from RNAcentral. Lineage: Eukaryota; Metazoa; Arthropoda; Insecta; Hymenoptera; Formicidae.